This 106-nucleotide small nuclear RNA is filed under the name Aotus nancymaae (Ma's night monkey). The record is from RNAcentral. Lineage: Eukaryota; Metazoa; Chordata; Mammalia; Primates; Aotidae.
AUGCUCGCUUUGGCCGCACAUAGGCUAAAAUUGGAAGACACAGAGAAGGUUAGCAUGGCCUCUGCGCAAGGAUGAUACGCAAAUGCCUGAAGCCUUCCAUGUUAAU